AUGGUUGGUGUGACACUAUCAAUAACCGGGCCUACUGCAACUAUGACGGGGGAGACUGCUGCUCUUCCACACUCUCUUCCAAGAAGGUCAUUCCAUUUGCUGCUGAUUGUGACUUGGAUGAAUGCACCUGUCGAGACCCCAAGGCAGAAGAAAACCAGUAACUCUAGGAGCAGAGCCCACCUCCUCUGCCCCGGGGGCAGACUAAAAGAGAAGCUCCCGUAGCAGGAUGCAAAGGGUGAAUGAACAAGAUAGGUUCCAUGGUGGAAGGAGAGCCUAAAAGAGAGCCUUUAAGAAAUGCAAGAAAUGUUUGUAGGUGCCAAUUAAUGCAUUAAGUAGUCCAAGUAGGGAGGGAUUAGAGGCAAUUGUUUCUGUAAAAAGACACUUGGUUAGAAAUGGAAGGAGAAAUUGACAGACCCCUCCCCCCAUCUGUACUCUGCUCCAUCCUUCUCUCAACUCUCAAUCUCCUCCCCACUCUGCACGCUGUCAGUGGCUCAGCCCCACCCAACAUGUAAACCCAUAUCAAAAUAUUAGAAGAUAAGCUGCCAGGGACUCUGUCAAUACCCAUUUCAGAUGGACUGUCAUCUUUCAGGGCUCAUCUACUCCAGACUGGCCCUUUGCCUUUCUUUUGUGUGGUCUCUCUCAAAUAAGGAGGUUAGCAAUUUCUUUAUAAGUAUUUAAACAUAAUUAUAUAAAUAUAUUAUAUAUUAUAUUUUUUGCUGUUUACUAAGCUACAGAUUAUCCAUUGUUCCACAAAUGCUGCUGUGAAGUUCAUGUCCAGAGGGAUACUGAAGCUUCGAGGACAGAAAGAAAGGUUCUUUUGCCUUCUUCCCAUAGAUAGGGAUUGGCAGGUCGGAUGGGGAGAAGAGAGUCGAUGGAAUUCUGGAUGCUAGCCUGUCAGCUGAUCAUCAUUUUAUGACCUGGGAGCUGGGCCUACUGAAAGGAGAUAGACUUGGCAUGCUAAGAGCAAGAGGCAUGGAAAGUUACAUGGGAACCUAUUUGGCAGUAGUUCCAGGAGAAAUAGACAAUGGUUUCUAAGUAUCUACCAAAAGGAGCAUACAAACUCUUCUACGCUUCUCAGAACUCUCAGUUGGAGCUGGUGAAGACCAGGGUCUUUUCCACUUCUCCAUGUACUUAGUCCAAGUAUAGCUGCCAGCCAGCCAACCAACCAGCCAGCCAGCCAGCCAGCCAGCCAACCAGCCAGCCAAAAAGUUUGUAUGAGGGC
RNAcentral lists this long non-coding RNA (1222 nucleotides) under Mus spicilegus (steppe mouse). RNAcentral's name for it is "lncRNA (ENSMSIG00000008744.1)". Lineage: Eukaryota; Metazoa; Chordata; Mammalia; Rodentia; Muridae. The record is from RNAcentral.